Molecule: ribosomal RNA, 232 nt
Filed under: Schistura elongata
Lineage: Eukaryota; Metazoa; Chordata; Actinopteri; Cypriniformes; Nemacheilidae
Description: partial 28S ribosomal RNA
Rfam family: Eukaryotic large subunit ribosomal RNA
Source: RNAcentral
GGUAUAGGGGCGAAAGACUAAUCGAACCAUCUAGUAGCUGGUUCCCUCCGAAGUUUCCCUCAGGAUAGCUGGCRCUCUGUYCGCAGUUUUAUCYGGUAAAGCGAAUGAYUAGAGGYCUUGGGGCCGAAACGAUCUCAACCUAUUCUCAAACUUUAAAUGGGUAAGAAGCCCGGCUCGCUGGCUUGGAGCCGGGCGUGGAAUGYGAGYGGCCUAGUGGGCCACUUUUGGUAAG